This 1086-nucleotide small RNA is filed under the name Drosophila mojavensis. Its description in RNAcentral is "GI25887". Lineage: Eukaryota; Metazoa; Arthropoda; Insecta; Diptera; Drosophilidae. The record is from RNAcentral.
AAAAUUUGUGUUUUAGAAUUUUAACAGAACCAAAAUUAUGGGCUCGCCGCUUUUUUUUUAUAACUUUUAUCACGUUACUAUGUCUAUUUUCAUUGAUGAAUAGGGCUGAAGCUAAUCAAUUUAAAAUUGUGGGAGGUUUCGAAGUCAAUACCUCGGAUGCUCCAUAUAUGGCAUCAUUGCGUUAUGUACACGAAGAGGCUGAUGCACUGGGCAGUGGACAUUUUUGUGGUGGGACUAUUAUUAAAGAUCGUGUAAUUAUUACAGCAGCUCAUUGCAUAUUUAGAAAGAACCAAACUGAUGUAUCGGUUGUAGUGGGAUCCAAGUAUCUUUUCCACAGUUGGCCGACAACGAAGAAGCUGAAAGUCUCAUAUUGGACCUAUCCUGUAAAAACCCGUUAAUGGGGCGAUCGCAUUUCUGCCCCUUAACACGGUGGAAAUAAGCCCUGGUACUAAAUGUCUAUUGUCUGGAUGGGGUCGAGUUGAGCACGAUGAAUUCAAUACUUCAAACAGUCUGCAGGCAACGUGGCAAAGGCUUCUAGACAAAAAGGCAUGUUUUAAGGUAAUUCGUCUGUAUAACAUAUUAUGCUCCGACUCAGGGGGUUCGACUGGAGCCGGUCUUGGUGAUACAGGUGGUCCGUUGCGAUGCAACGAUAAACUUGCGGGUGUUAUCUUCGCCACAAACUUCAAAGGUAGCGUCUUAUAUGUAGAUGUCCGGACAUUUGCCGAUUGGAUAGAAGAACAGAUUAGGAAUAAUGGAAUAAUGCCACUUGGCUCGUUUUGCAUUGAGAAGCACGUUGUUUUGGCCAUCAGCAUUUGUGUGGCCACCAUUUGCAAGCCGGGCAUUCUAGACUUUUCGUCGUACUCAAACUAAGCCGAGUUAUUUCCGAUGAGUCCGUAGGUUUUUAUUAUUUUAUUAUUUUAUUUCAUUAAAGAUUCCAAAUUUCCUCUGAUAUUGAUGAUGAUGUUAUUGUAUUUACAUCUCAGCCAUACAAUAUCCAUUUUAUGAUCUCUAAAUAUCUGUAAAAAUAUGUACUCUUUCAAAUUCAAUAACACUUUCAAAAUCAUAAAUGAAAUGAAUAAACGGAUA